RNAcentral lists this small RNA (555 nucleotides) under Pan troglodytes (chimpanzee). RNAcentral's name for it is "processed transcript". Lineage: Eukaryota; Metazoa; Chordata; Mammalia; Primates; Hominidae. The record is from RNAcentral.
GGGGCUGGGCUGGAGUGAAGGUGGCUACGAGGCAUAUGCAAUGUUUUCCAGAUUUAGGAGACUUCAGAAAGGUGGGGCAGAUAGAAUGGAGAUGGCAAAGAUCUCUUUGGGUAUAUAUGGGCCUGGCGAAGUAAUGGAAUAAUUUCUAAUUUUCGGACAAGCCCUCAUGCCGGGAUGGCAGAAGAUGAGCCUGAUGCUAAGAGCCCCAAGACUGGGGGAAGGGCCCCCCCAGGUGGUGCUGAGGCUGGGGAACCUACCACCCUUCUUCAGAGGCUCCGAGGUACCAUUUCCAAGGCCGUGCAGAACAAAGUAGAGGGGAUCCUGCAAGAUGUACAGAAAUUUUCUGACAAUGACAAGCUGUAUCUCUACCUUCAGCUCCCCUCAGGACCCACCACUGGAGACAAAAGCUCAGAGCCAAGUACACUGAGCAAUGAGGAGUACAUGUAUGCCUAUAGGUGGAUCCGCAACCACCUGGAAGAGCACACUGACACCUGUCUGCCAAAGCAAAGUGUUUAUGAUGCCUAUCGGGACUCUUCGAGCCUACCCAUGGCCUCC